CAGUAGCCGCGGUAAUACGGAGGGUGCGAGCGUUAAUCGGAAUUACUGGGCGUAAAGCGUACGCAGGCGGUUUGUUAAGUCAGAUGUGAAAUCCCCGAGCUUAACUCGGGAACUGCAUUUGAAACUGGCAGGCUAGAGUCUCGUAGAGGGGGGUAGAAUUCCAGGUGUAGCGGUGAAGUGCGUAGAGAUCUGGAGGAAUACCGGUGGCGAAGGCGGCCCCCUGGACGAAGACUGACGCUCAGGUACGAAAGCGUGGGGAGCAAACAGGAUUAGAUACCCCAGUAGUCCCUGUCUCUUAUAC
Molecule: ribosomal RNA, 301 nt
Filed under: uncultured bacterium
Lineage: Bacteria
Description: partial 16S ribosomal RNA
Rfam family: Bacterial small subunit ribosomal RNA
Source: RNAcentral